CGGGAUGCAGCAGCAGUGGGGAAUAUUGGACAAUGGGGGAAACCCUGAUCCAGCAAUGCCGCGUGUGUGAAGAAGGCCUGCGGGUUGUAAAGCACUUUCGGUUGGGAGGACUGCUUCUAGCACUAAUAUUGUUGGAAGUUGACGUUACCUUCAGAAGAAGCACCGGCUAACUCCGUGCCAGCAGCCGCGGUAAUACGGGGGGUGCAAGCGUUAAUCGGAAUUACUGGGCGUAAAGCGCGCGUAGGCGGCUAGAUCAGUCGGGUGUGAAAGCCCCGGGCUUAACCUGGGAACUGCAUCCGAUACUGUCUAGCUUGAGUACAGGAGAGGAGAGUGGAAUUCCACAUGUAGCGGUGAAAUGCGUGGAUAUGUGGAGGAACACCAAUGGCGAAGGCAGCUCUCUGGCCUGAUACUGACGCUGAGGUGCGAAAGCGUGGGGAGCAAACAGGAUUAGAUACCCUCGUAGUC
This 465-nucleotide ribosomal RNA is filed under the name uncultured bacterium. RNAcentral's name for it is "partial 16S ribosomal RNA". It matches the Rfam family "Bacterial small subunit ribosomal RNA", at positions 342 to 795 of the family's 1533-position model. The record is from RNAcentral.